GGACAUUUUCAUUAGAUGGUGGUAUAUGUCCAGAAAUGGCAGUAUCUAAAGCCAAAAGGCAUUAAUAAUACUUGUAAGUAAUUUUUACAAAGUAGUCUCCACUUAGAAUGAAUUUUUUUCCCCCAGAGUAUCCCUGGGUACAGCAGCGAUGGGGAGCACCAGGCAUCAUACUCAAUAGGCCAAGGUCUGGAGAAGAGAUAGCUUGCCUUGUUCAUCUGCAGGAGCUUGGAAUUCAUGAUUGACUGCCCCUGAAAUAACUUGCAGGGAGCCUGAGACUGUACAUUCAACCAUUUAUUAGUGGCCUGAAACACAAGCGCAACUUUGUUUAAACUCUGGACUGAUGUUACAUUGGGGAGGAAGGGCUGGUGCGGAUUUGUGGACAUAUUUUUAUUUUGCUUUUGGUAUUCUCUUCGCCACUUCACCAUCCAGCUUCCUUCCUCCAGUCCGGGCUCUGCUGCUGAACAGGAGCCUUUGAAAACAAACAAGCAAACAAACAAAAACCCCGCAAACAAUGGAAACCAACAGGAGAUUACAGAAGGUAGAGAGGUGCUCCACUCAAGGAGGUUCUGGGUCACUUGUUGUUGCUGUGCGACCUCAAACUCCAAGGCAGCAACACCCUGGGCUGCAGAGACACUGCUCUGACAGCGUCUCUCUGCUGUGAAGGCCAGCUCUACCAGCCUAGUACCACCAAGAGGGAAACAGCCUGGCAACUCUCAGGUGAGUCUGGGACCGUCCUGACAGUUUGUCCGGGAAAUUCAGGACUGGCUGCCCUGGGUGGUCCCUGGGCUAUUGGUCUAACCUAGCCUUGAGGGUAGAGAGACCCAUGAGGGCUCCUGGAUCCUAGACUUCAAGGCCUGUUGGUUGGAGAGGGGUGGGGAGGGGAGAAGGAGCAGAAAGGAAGGAAAGGGGAGGGAAGGGACAAAAUGGGAGGGGAGAAGGAAGGGGAAGAGGAGGACUGAGGAGGAGUGGGGAGAGGGGAGGAGGUGUGAGGAGGAAGGGAAGGAAAGGGGAGGGGGGAGGAGGAAGGGAAGGGGGAAAGGGGAGGGAGCAGGUCUGAAUUGACGUACAGUCCAGCACAAAUAGCUUUGACUUUUCUGCUCCCUUGUCCAGGGCCUGGCUUAGAAUUAGGAGAAUGGAACAGAAGUGGCCUGGACAUCGGUCCCAGCGGUGGCUUUGAAGGCUCCACAAGGAUGAAUCAGACACUGCAGCUGUGUCAGAAGCAGGAACACUGAUGGGGAUGCCCAGAAGUCUGAGGUUCCUGGGCACGGCAGUAAGUUACAGAAGAACUUUAUCAGGAGCCUUAGAAACCGAGUUGUGUGUUCA
This 1323-nucleotide long non-coding RNA is filed under the name Vombatus ursinus (common wombat). Its description in RNAcentral is "lncRNA (ENSVURG00010002943.1)". The record is from RNAcentral. Lineage: Eukaryota; Metazoa; Chordata; Mammalia; Diprotodontia; Vombatidae.